AUACGUAGGGGGCGAGCGUUGUCCGGAAUGACUGGGCGUAAAGGGUACGUAGGCGGCCAGGUAAGUCAGAUGUGAGAGGCAUAGGCUCAACCUGUGUAAGCAUUUGAAACUGUCUGGCUUGAGUUAAGGAGAGGAAAGUGGAAUUCCUGGUGUAGCGGUGAAAUGCGUAGAUAUCAGGAGGAAUACCAGUGGCGAAGGCGACUUUCUGGACUUAAACUGACGCUGAGGUACGAAAGCGUGGGGAGCAAACAGGAUUAGAUACCCUGGUAGUCCACGCCGUAAACGAUGAGUGCUAGGUGUCGGGGGUUAAACCUCGGUGCCGGAGUUAACACAUUAAGCACUCCGCCUGGGGAGUACGUUCGCAAGAAUGAA
This 372-nucleotide ribosomal RNA is filed under the name uncultured bacterium. Its description in RNAcentral is "bacterial SSU rRNA". It matches the Rfam family "Bacterial small subunit ribosomal RNA", at positions 523 to 898 of the family's 1533-position model. The record is from RNAcentral.